AUUUAAAAUCAAAUGCCUAAAAAGUAAUACAUGAUUCGUCUGUGGACUUUGUAAUAGUGUAUCGUUACAGUUAUCUGUUUAGCUAUUACAUUUUUAAAGAUUAUUUACACCGUCCGCCGUUGACCAAUUGAUGAUAACAUAAAUCAAGCUUGUCUCUUUUAAAAUAACAAAAAAUGGAUAAAGACAGCUUUGCGUAGGGGGAUAAUUCAUGUGAUAUAAUUUUGGUAAGUUUACAGAAAUAGAAGGUCCAUAAAGCAUUAAUCGAGUAAAAAUGGAGCAAUUUCAGAAAACUUUAAUGAUUGGUUUAGGAGGUGAUGGAAAUACCUGAUGGGUGCCCCCACAUAAUGCAAUGUUCAAGUCCGUAUCUUAUAUAAAGUAACCCCAUAAAAGAUUUUUACUAAAAUUCGAAAUAGACGGUGCACAAUACAGUCAUUAUCAUUUAUGAUAAGGAAACCGAAUAAGAUUAAUUAAUAGUUAUAUCAGUGACGGAUUCAAAAAAAGGGGAUCCGGCAGUUUGAAACCCUUUUUUAACUAUCAAUGCAUUUGUAUGGGAACAUAUAUUUGGAAUCCCCUUUUCUCCUAGAUUGGACCCCCUCUCCAUUUAAAAAAUGGCCGGAACCCCCAAUGUAUAUUAAGUGGUUUAUGAGGAGAUGCGCUUACAAAACCGGCGAAACAUAUUGUACUGGUCCAACGGACGAACGGAAAGACGGACUUCUUUAUCACUAUAACCCCCGCUUGACAAAGUGGUGUACAAUUGAGUGUCAAAGAGACAGCUCUACAUCUUAAACCAAGUGAAGGAACUGUGAUCAAUUAAAGGCUACAGUACGGCCUCGAAUGUGUGUAAAUACAUGCAUUUUUAUAUAACAACUAAAUCUGUGUGUUUGUACAAUUUUAAGUAUAACGGAGGACAUUUCUGAAACUUAUAUACUAGUAUACAUCAAACCUUCCUCUUAUUUUAGCAACAUUUAAACAUCCUUAUACUUAAUGUAGUAAGUCGAGUACACCCCAUCAAGCUAAAACAUGUUUCAUAAGUUUUCAGGAUGUGAAUGUAUUGAAAUAUAUUUGUGUUUUUUAGAAAAAUGCCACCUUCUAAUGUAUCGUAAAUAACUUUGAAAUCAUCACUAGAAUACAGUGACAUAAAGACUGAUCAUACAGUUUUAAAAUAUACAAGCGAGACUGAUCGUACAGUGAGAAAUUCAAACAAGUGUAAUUUUCUUAUUUCUGGCUUCAAAGAUCUGGUUGAAACUUUUACCACCACUUGAAAUAUACUUCAUUUAGUUAAUUAAGUCAGGUUUUUACGUUAAUUUGUACACUAAGAGGGUAAAAAGAUUGUUUUUAGGUUCGCCGACUGAUUUUUCUUAGUGAUGCACUUGAAAAUCUUUUGAUUAAGGUAAAGAUACGAAUAAUGAAUGUGCGGAAUUUAAUUCUAAACCAUUUGAGAAUAUCGAUGUCGGCUGAAUUAAUCAUUAAGCAAUGUACAGAUGAUCAACCUACCGUUUAAAUUCAGUAUACCCAUCAAAUUUAAAAUGUGAUCCAAAAAGUUCUCGCUUCGAAAAUCGCGACUUCCGGAUAGCGUACAGAAUAGUAUCUACACUGUG
This 1598-nucleotide long non-coding RNA is filed under the name Mytilus galloprovincialis (Mediterranean mussel). Lineage: Eukaryota; Metazoa; Mollusca; Bivalvia; Mytilida; Mytilidae. The record is from RNAcentral.